GGCUCUCGUAGCUCAACGGAUAGAGCAACUUCCUUCUAAGAAGUAGGUUGUGAGUUCGAU
Molecule: transfer RNA, 60 nt
Filed under: Candidatus Gottesmanbacteria bacterium RIFCSPLOWO2_01_FULL_42_10
Lineage: Bacteria; Candidatus Gottesmaniibacteriota
Description: tRNA-Arg
Source: RNAcentral